GGCUUUAGUUAUUUUUUAAUUUUUUAAUUAGAUACUAUAGCCGACGAAUACGUUAGGGUAUUCGUCGGCUAAACCCUAAAAUUUUACUACUACCUACUAUAGCCCUAUAUUCGGUGGUUCUUUUCCGUAAAAUUUUUUAGACGACUUCUUGCGUCUCAUCGGUUUGAAACUAUUUUCGGUUGGAAGUCCGGCCAAAAUACGUAAUUUAGACGGUCGAACGACCUUUUCCGUGCGUUUAGGGGUUUGACUUACGAGAUUGACCGUCCGGAUCGAGCCCUUAUUCUUUUCGGAUCAAGUUGAAUUUUUUCCCAUACAUGUAUUUUGUCAUGAUGGUCAAAUCUGACGGUCGGAUUUCUGUUUCUCAAGUUUGAUCAUCACAAUCAGAACAUGCAUACUAAUGUUGUAUAACUUGUUUACCAAGUGUUAUGUAAAUGUUCCGUUUCAAAAACAAACUAUACGUAAAACCUUCAAACGCCAAAAAGUCAUGAAAUAAGAUAUGACGAGAAUGUUGAAAUACAUCCACGGUUGAAAAAUCACACUAUUCCGGUAAAUAUUCGGUGCCGAUAGUUGCGGUCAAUGCAAUUUUUCAUUCUUUCCCCCUAUGAGUAGCCCUAUAUUCGGUGGUUAUUUUGCGUAAAAGUUUUAUACGACUUGUUGCGUGUCAUCGAUUUAAAACUAUUUUCAGUUGAAGGUCCAGCCAAAAUACGUAAUUUAGACAGUCGAACGACCUUUUCCGUGCUUUUAGGGGUUUUACUUGGGAGAUUGACCGUCCGGAUCGAGCCCUUAUUCUUGUCGGAUCAAGUUGAAUUUUUGGUCAUACAUGUAUUUUGUCAUGGUGGUCAGAUCUGAUGGUCGGAUUUCUUUUUCUCAAGUUUGAUCAUCACAAUCACAAUGUGCCAAAUGUAUAAAAAUACUUUAGCCGACGAAUUUCAAAGGUUUAGCCGACGAAUUUCGAAAGUUUAGCCGACGAAUUUCAAAGUUUUAGCCGACGAAUUUAGAAGGUUUAGCUGACGAAUUGAUUCUUAGCCGACGAGAUUCUUAGCUUUAGCCGACGAAAUAAUUAUUUCGUCGGCUAAAGUUUUCGGGUUUAACUGCUCGACAGCAGAAAAACCCUAGCCUCCUCCCUCCUCCCUCCCUCUCCCGUCUCCGCCUCCUCCCUCCUCCUCCCUCCCUCUCCCGGUCUCUGCCCCCUCCCUCCUCCCUCUCCAUCUCCCGGUCUCCUCCCUCCUCC
Molecule: long non-coding RNA, 1231 nt
Filed under: Fragaria vesca (wild strawberry)
Lineage: Eukaryota; Viridiplantae; Streptophyta; Magnoliopsida; Rosales; Rosaceae
Description: long non-coding RNA (FVES_LNC004761)
Source: RNAcentral